GACGAACGCUGGCGGCGUGCUUAACACAUGCAAGUCGAACGGACAGACAGAGAGCUUGCUCUCUUGAAGUUAGUGGCGAACGGGUGAGUAACGCGUAAUCAACCUGCCCUUCAGAGGGGGAUAACAACGGGAAACCGUUGCUAAUACCGCGUACGAUUCAUGAACGGCAUCGUUUAUGAAUGAAAGGUGGCCUCUAUGUAUAAGCUACCGCUGACGGAGGGGAUUGCGUCUGAUUAGCUAGUUGGAUGGGUAACGGCCCACCAAGGCAAUGAUCAGUAGCCGGUCUGAGAGGAUGAACGGCCACAUUGGGACUGAGACACGGCCCAAACUCCUACGGGAGGCAGCAGUGGGGAAUCUUCCGCAAUGGACGAAAGUCUGACGGAGCAACGCCGCGUGAGUGAUGAAGGUCUUCGGAUUGUAAAGCUCUGUUAAUCGGGACGAUAGAGUUCUGCGUGAAUAAUGCAGAAAAGUGACGGUACCGGAAUAGAAAGCCACGGCUAACUACGUGCCAGCCGCCGCAGUAA
This 524-nucleotide ribosomal RNA is filed under the name uncultured bacterium. RNAcentral describes it as "partial 16S ribosomal RNA". It matches the Rfam family "Bacterial small subunit ribosomal RNA", at positions 28 to 523 of the family's 1533-position model. The record is from RNAcentral.